UCCACGCCGUAAACGAUGCACACUAGGUCGCGGUACCUCUCAUGGUUUCGCGGCCGAAGGUAAACUGAUUAGUGUGCCGCCUGGGGAGUACGGUCGCAAGGCUAAAACUCAAAGGAAUUGACGGGGGCUCACACAAGCGAUGGAGCAUGUUGCUUAAUUCGAGGCAACGCGAAGAACCUUACCUAGACUUGACAUGUAUGGAUUAGCUCCUGGAAACAGGAGUGACGCCCUUG
Molecule: ribosomal RNA, 233 nt
Filed under: uncultured bacterium
Lineage: Bacteria
Description: partial 16S ribosomal RNA
Rfam family: Bacterial small subunit ribosomal RNA
Source: RNAcentral